CCUGACGCAGCGACGCCGCGUGAGGGAAGAAGGUUUUCGGAUUGUAAACCUCUGUCUUCGGGGACGAAACAAAUGACGGUACUCGAGGAGGAAGCCACGGCUAACUACGUGCCAGCAGCCGCGGUAAUACGUAGGUGGCAAGCGUUGUCCGGAAUUACUGGGUGUAAAGGGAGCGCAGGCGGAACUGCAAGUUGGGUGUUUAAUCUACGGGCUCAACCCGUAUCAGCAUUCAAAACUGUGGUUCUUGAGUAAUGCAGAGGUAGGCGGAAUUCCCGGUGUAGCGGUGGAAUGCGUAGAUAUCGGGAGGAACACCAGUGGCGAAGGCGGCCUACUGGGCAUCAACUGACGCUGAGGCUCGAAAGCAUGGGUAGCAAACAGGAUUAGAUACCCUGGUAGUCCAUGCUGUAAACGAUGAUUACUAGGUGUGGGAAGAUUGACCCUUUCCGUGCCGCAGUUAACACAAUAAGUAAUCCACCUGGGGAGUACGACCGCAAGGUUGAAACUCAAAGGAAUUGACGG
Molecule: ribosomal RNA, 519 nt
Filed under: uncultured bacterium
Lineage: Bacteria
Description: bacterial SSU rRNA
Rfam family: Bacterial small subunit ribosomal RNA
Source: RNAcentral